GUCUCAGUACAUGCCGCACUAAGGUGAAACCGCAAAAGGCUCAUUAAAUCAGUUAUGGUUCCUUGGAUCUUAAACAGUUACUUGGAUAACUGUGGUAAUUCUAGAGCUAAUACAUGCAAACAAGUCCCGACCAGAGAUGGGAGGGACGCUUUUAUUAGAUCAAAACCGAUCGGCGUCCGGCUCCGGCCGGCGCCGUCUCUUUUGGUGACUCUGGAUAACUUUUAGCCGAUCGCACGGUCACAGUACCGGCGACGCAUCUUUCAAAUGUCUGACUUAUCAACUGUCGAUGGUAGGCUCUGCGCCUACCAUGGUUGUAACGGGUAACGGGGAAUCAGGGUUCGAUUCCGGAGAGGGAGCCUGAGAAACGGCUACCACAUCCAAGGAAGGCAGCAGGCGCGCAAAUUACCCACUCCCGGCACGGGGAGGUAGUGACGAAAAAUAACGAUACGGGACUCAUCCGAGGCCCCGUAAUCGGAAUGAGUACACUUUAAAUACUUUAACGAGUACCAAUUGGAGGGCAAGUCUGGUGCCAGCAGCCGCGGUAAUUCCAGCUCCAAUAGCGUAUAUUAAAGUUGUUGCGGUUAAAAAGCUCGUAGUUGGAUCUGUGUGCCACGCUGUCGGUUCACCGCCUGUCGGUGUCAACUGGCAUGUCUGUGGGACGUCCUGCCGGUGGCGGUACGGGCUGCCGGCGCUGCGUAGGGGCUCGCCCCCGAAGCACGCCGGCGUGUCCCGGUCCGCCGAUCCAAUCCCGCCGCGGUGCUCUUCACUGAGUGUCGAGGUGGGCCGGCACGUUUACUUUGAACAAAUUAGAGUGCUCAAAUCAGGUCGUAUU
Molecule: ribosomal RNA, 832 nt
Filed under: Hyalessa maculaticollis
Lineage: Eukaryota; Metazoa; Arthropoda; Insecta; Hemiptera; Cicadidae
Also listed under: 1 other name
Description: SSU rRNA
Rfam family: Eukaryotic small subunit ribosomal RNA
Source: RNAcentral